Long non-coding RNA from Monopterus albus (swamp eel), 1092 nucleotides. RefSeq lists it as uncharacterized. The transcript is spliced from 2 exons. NCBI's taxonomy places the organism in Eukaryota, Metazoa, Chordata, Actinopteri, Synbranchiformes, Synbranchidae. The record is from RefSeq and is a predicted model, not a curated record.
AUCACCUGGAAUAUCAUCAUGUAUGAGUGUGUACUGAUUGGAGAAUUAUGCAUCCACCGGCAACACUCCCUUAGUUCUCUGCAGGGCCAUUGAGGACAGUCACAAGGGCCCUUUGCUUUUAAUGCGGGCCAUCUGCUUCCUCUCCAAAAUGCCUACCUUUUUAAAGCCCCCCUCAGCCUCGUGGGCAUCUUCGCACAAUCCUCCAGGCUGCACUACGUCCUUACAUGCUGUAAAAACACCACCAUUGUUGACGAUACUCCAGAUCUGACUGUAGUCCGACUGAUCAUAUGCAAUUAACCUGAACAAAUGUUUCUGAACACUCUUCAGUUUUGUUCCCUAUCUUGUUCUGUCAGGCGACACAACAGGGUUGCACUUUGAUCAGUCAUACAGACAUGAUCGUGCAAUGUUGAGCAACAGCCUCAGUGCACAGACCCUUAUGUGCAAGUGAAAAAAUUGCCCAGAUCAAUAAAAUGCCAGAAAGGUAUGUAAAUAACCAAAUACAGUUAGCUGUAAGUCAUAUUAGUUGUAAAGUGUAUAAAUAUAUGCAAAUGUUAUCAGUAUAACACAAGAAUAAUGUAAUUUUGACACAACUCCAGCUCCACUUGCUAGUUUUUUUCCAGAGCUUUCAACCACAUCUUAUCAGUGAGUGAGGUUUUCUCAUGUUAUACAUAUUAUAAGAAACUUUAUCAACAACUACUCUGAUAAUCAGUUAAUUGUAUUAGUCUUUUAAGUAAAAAUGACAGACAUUGCUCAGCAUCUUUCAGCUUCUUAUCUUUGAGGAGUUCCUGUGUUUCUUUUUCUUAUAUGAUUUUACACUGAAUAUGUUUGGCUUUUAAGGUCUGUUGGUGGGACAAAACAAACGAUCUGAAGAUGUCACCUUGGGCUUUAGAUGCGCAUGUUCUUGUAUUUUAAAGACCAAACAAUUAAUUGAUUGAUUAAAAAAGAAAUCUACAGAUUAGCCGAUAAAGGAAAUAAUCAGAAGAUGCUCUAAUGUUAUAGAUAAACCAUUACCACUGCAGUAGUCCUGCAGUGUCCUUAUCAAUACUAUUUCAGCAAAUCACUUUUCAUGUAGUGGAAUAUGGAUCCUCUAAA